RNAcentral lists this microRNA precursor (87 nucleotides) under Otolemur garnettii (small-eared galago). RNAcentral describes it as "miRNA (ENSOGAG00000021309.1)". The record is from RNAcentral. Lineage: Eukaryota; Metazoa; Chordata; Mammalia; Primates; Galagidae.
UUUGGGAGUCUGAGGCAGGAGGAUCACUUGGGCCCAGGAGUUUGAGACCAGUCUGGGCAACAUAGUGAGACCUCUUCUCUACCAACA